This is a long non-coding RNA of Triticum aestivum (bread wheat), 4949 nucleotides long. RefSeq lists it as uncharacterized. Lineage: Eukaryota; Viridiplantae; Streptophyta; Magnoliopsida; Poales; Poaceae. The transcript is spliced from 3 exons. The record is from RefSeq and is a predicted model, not a curated record.
ACCAUCUCCCGUCACUUAGGCCCCAUGCCGGCGGCCGGCCGGGGUGGAGGCGCAGCAGGGGUUGCUGGAGUGGCGGAUGUGGGGGGGAUCCCGUCGCUACUCCAUGACAGUGUCCAGUUCAAUGGGUAGGGGUAGAAAGCCAUGGAGAACUUGGGAGAGGAGGAAGGUGACGGUCCAGCCCGCGGUGUUGGGCAGAGAGAGAUGUCGGCAAAGGUGGCGGUGGCGCUGAGUAGAGAGAGCAUGGCAUCGGCAAUAGCAGCAACUGGUCUCUUCUCUUCGUAUCCUCGAUGUGGGUGUGGGCUAUAGGAGUGCGAGCAUUGGAAACCUCUUCCUCCAUAAUCUUGCCAUGUGCUCCUCAACUAGACAAGGAGAGCAACCUGCAUGAGGAGACCCAGGUGAAAACGAGUGUGCUAGCUGAGGCUCCGAGGAUGCAGGGUGAUAGGGCCCAGUCUAUGCUCCGGUUGUGUUGUUGGCCCAUGGACGAGGAAGCGGUGGUCAAGAUGGGCAGGGAGCAUCACGAUAUACAUCGCCAACGCGUGCAACUCGCCGCCAUCAUUUAGGAUGGAGGACCUUCCUGCGGUAACUUCCAUUCCACCAGGCUCCUUUUUGUCUCUCCAUAAAUUACAUAAAGGGAAAUUGAAUAUUUACUAAAGUGUUUUCUUAUAUUACUUCACGCUAUUUUUCAGGUAAUGUGAAAGUUUGGGGCAUCUUGCAUAACUUGCAAUAAUAGAUCAUCAAACAAAACAUGUUUGCACCUGUGUAGAUUUCUCUUUCAAAUAUAUGCACAUUUAUCUCAUAAUGCCAAGUAGUGGCUGUUAGUUCCAGUCAAUAUGCCUAAAAAUUCAUCCUUUCUUGUCACACGAAGUUCAAGCAAUUAUAAUUUCACUACUGCCACUGAAAGAGGUCGUUUGGUCACGCAUUGUUUCCACAAGUUGGAGAUGGUCUGGAGAUUCCACUGCAAUCUUUGUUUUGAUGGCCUCGCUACUCUGGAUGGUGACACAGAUGACGAGUUCAUGGGUACUACCAAAAUAAGACAAGCAAAUUUCAUUGAGAAUAUAAAUUGGGUUAGUCAACAACAUAGUGUGAUAGGAAUCAAUAAGUUCAGCAUCAGGUGUAGACUACACAAACAGGACUCCGAUAGGCUUGACAAGUGGAUUGAGUUUUCCACUACAUCGAAGGAAAAUAUAAUAGCUUUUUCUCUGGUAAUAAUUUAUUAUCCAUUUGAAUUUCACCACUUCUAGCUUGAGGUUUUAGGCACGCAAGGUAGCUCAUUUGUGCAAUCCUUGUUCAUCAUCGGCGUUUCUAUAAAGCCACACUCGGGAAUAUGUGGCUUUACAGUACUCAUCAAGCUUGUUCUGAAAUGUCUUCAGAUAUUUGGAGACAUUCCAGGCUUCUUAGCAAACUAUCUGACACUUGAGGACUUAGAGAUGAUCAAGUGCUCUGGUGUAGCCAAUUUAAGCAUACCACACCAACUUGAUAAACUUCAGCAUUUGCUAAUUAAGAAAAUGGAUGUCGAGGCGAUUGAGUCUCAUGCUGCUGAUCUUGUUCAUUUUGAGUACAUAGGAAAAGAGAUUCCUAUAACACUUAAUGGUCGCUCAAAGUUAGAGAAGGCUACAAUAAUGUUUGAAGGCACUAAUGGACUGGAUCAUGUAUUCAUUAUAGUUCCAAUCAUUUUGGGAGGGAAGAUGCUAAAUGUGCAAGCUCGUAUAUUUGCUUAUGAACAGGUUACCCCAGUGUCUAUUUAUCUAUUCUUGUUUUUACCUCAUAGUUAUAGAAGAAUGGGCUCUAAUGCCAUUCAUUUUGUCCUCUCAAAUUUCCAGUUGCAGAAGCUGACACCAAGGCCAGACCACAUGUUUAUACAUUAGAGGCAUAUGACUUGUCAAUUAACUGUCAUUUAUCUUAACCUAACAAAUUGCGACAAUGGUGUUUUUCAACUGGCCCACUGUUUGGAUGUUGCCUUCCUAUCCAUAAGUUUGUCUUUAUACUGCAUAUUAAUUCACUCUUUUGGGUAGGUAACUAAACUCCUGUAGCUUUACAUAAUCAUUGAAGUUGUCUUUCCCAAUCCGAGUUUUGCUUUACAACAACUUGAUUGCUUGUGUAUUUGUGUAGUUUUCUGCAUGUUCGUACAUCUCUGAAUGUUGUUCCGUUCCUUGAUAAAUACAUCGCUCUACAGGGUUGAUUAAAGAAGUUAACUCUUCUUCAUAACAGUUUUUCAAAUGCCCUGAUAGGAUGAUCCUAAACAUGGAUAGUUUAACUUGGUAUAUCAGCUCAAACACCUGAUCCGCAAAAUGGAGUUCCAUUGGUCCUAGCUGCUGUUCUGAAUCCUUCAAAAAGAAAAAAAAGUUCUAUACUAAAUAAACUAUCUGCUAUAUUAUUUUUAUUUUGAGUCUUGCUUCCAUCCAUCUACUUAUAGUACCCUGGGUAGCUACAACAGUGAUGCUCUUUCUUUCUCUGUAGGGAAGCUUCGGACGGGAUUUACAGAAGGAAAAGGAGACCCGUGCGAAAUCGAGCGUCCUGGUGUUGGGACUCAUGAUCCACACUUGUUGUCUAAAUGUAGUACAUGCGCAUUGUAGUGGUAAUGUUGUUAACUGUCCCUAUAUAUUCCUUAGAUGUCUAAUAAACCAAGAAUUUGACACUUGCCAGUAAGUUCAGUAUAUCAUCGUUUACUUAGACAAAAUACAUUAUGGUCAAAUAAUACAAAUAUUUCACAGGUAGAAAAAGCAUACAAAUAUUAAUUUUCAGUAAAAUGAUGAAGUGUUCAGAUAUAUCAAUGCUUUCACCUCACUUGUCAUGCUAUUAUGAACUAAAUUUUUAGUUUAAUUGCUAUAUCAGAAUCAAAGUAACCCAUUCGACGCUUGACUGUAUCUUAGCAUGCUUAUUGUGUACAUUCCUUAUGUCAUUUUUACAGAUAAAUUCAUUUGUGUCAAGUAUCGCUUUUUGCCAUAUGGACAUGACAAAAGUUGGAACCUAUUCUUGAUUUCCCAUAGUGGUUUUGAUGGUAUUUGGUCAGUGUGUUUCCGGCUGGAAUUGCAUGUAUAUCUUACAUAUUUACAUUGCAACAAUUAAUAAGGAGAAUAGAAGCAUUUGCAUCCUCUAAUAGACUAAUACUUUGCCUGCCAUGCUUAGCGAGAAUUCAAAAUAGUGACCUUUGGAUAUCAAUUAUGGGUUUGUAAUUUCGUGCCAGGACCUAAAAGUAUUUUUGUCUCAUGCUUCGACUAUCAUAUCUAUUUUCUCUGUAAAUUCUAGACAUCCAGUUCAGAUUAUGAUCUUUGCAUCCCCUUUUUUUGUAUUUUCUGAAAUAGGGCAACAUUACAAAAAAAGAGCCACAUGUUUUAGAAAUUGAAUCACCAUGACAGCUUUUCAGGUUAUGGUUCUUUAGCCAUUUAAUGCAGUAUCAAUGGUUCAGUGUGCUUCAUGAAAUGAAACAUAAUGUAUAGUUCAGCAGUUUUGAGCCUUACCCGCAUAUUUUUGCUUCACCCGUCACCACAGAGGUCUUACCUCACCUUGACCAUGUAGCCACUAGGAGUAUGACCAAUAUGUGAUCGUUCUUAGAGUUGAAAUUCUAAUUUCCGUACUAAAUCAAUUGCUUCCUUCAUCAAGUUAUUCAUAGCAAACCAGUAAACAUGAAUUUUAUGUGUAUAAAUUACUUCUUUGUUUUCCAUUUAUUUUGUUCAAAAUAUUUAUAUGGCAUUUUUCAAAAAGCUUAAGGUUAGAGAUGUGUUGCUGUAUGAGGCUAUUGUUAGGAUGGAAGAUAAAUUAAUGUUAAAAUAUUUUUGAUUUCCUUUAUUCUGUAAACGGCAAUACAAGAUAUGUUUGGGCCACAUGAUUCUAUUCCAAAAUUUUAAACAACUUGGCAAUUAACAACGCAUCAAAUGUCAUGUAUUGAAAAUUUGAAUGGAUCACUUUGUCAGGUUGGGUUUAGUAGGUCAUAAUGGUUUUAUUCUACGACAAGAUUGGUUUGUUUAUAAUGUAACUAGUUCAAGGAUUGACGAGUUUUUGAGCCCUAUGACCUAUGUACCCACAGGUUCAGCUGUGUUCUUUGUGAAGUAUAUGUCCUGCAAGGCUCAUGGGCGUUGCACUGUUUUCAUUUUCCAAACUACAGUCUAUACUCCCUCUGUAAAGUAAUAUACUCCAAGCUACAAUCUUUAGUGAUCUGAACGGUCUUAUAUUAGUUUACAAAGGGAGUACUUGAUAGGAUAUUCUUUAUAUUUUGCUUGAUUCCAUCAGCCGGAGAACAUAAAUUAGCAAUUAGGUAUCUACACAGUGUAGUGGAACCAUUGUGCUUGCUGUAGUUUUAUUCUAGCGUUGAAAUGUUCUUCUUAGUUUGUUCUGUACUAAGAAAUAUUUUUGUUUUCUGGCCAUUGUUUUCUCAAUCCUAUAAACAUACUACCUUAUAUGGCCUUUGAAGUUUCCGUUUUAUAAAUAGCUUUGCACUGAUCAAGUUGAGUAUGGUAUGGUUUAUUCUUUUGUCUUGUAGCUAUUCCAGAGAAGUUUAGAGCUCCACAACCUUAGCAGAGAUGAAACAAUCAAUCAGCUAAGAUGCAUCACAUGAUCUUUUUCUCUUGACUUUGAUGGGUAUUGAACCUAUAGAUCAGCUUAUCAAUGGAACUCUUAUCGGCGUUCAGAAGGUGGCACAAAAUCUCAUAUGCAGGGCGAUCUGCUAAGAAGCAUAGCACCAGGAAGGACUUUUUGGAUGGUACCGCGGUCAAAUGCAUCCUAGGAUAGGUCCUUUAAGAAUAAUGGUAUGUUUCCCUCCUUUUGUUUACCAGAGGCACAGAGGUUUAGCCUCAAUUUAUUAUGAUAUUUUUGUUUAGAGUAGAUGCAGACCUGAUACUUACCCAGGUUGUGAGAGCUGGUGAUGAUUCUAUUAAAAGUCCCUUGUUGCCUGGAAUGAUUGUCUCUGCAAACAUCAUAACUAACGCCAUAUGGUUUCCAAUGUGACUAAGAUG